Molecule: ribosomal RNA, 443 nt
Filed under: uncultured bacterium
Lineage: Bacteria
Description: partial 16S ribosomal RNA
Rfam family: Bacterial small subunit ribosomal RNA
Source: RNAcentral
CCUACGGGUGGCAGCAGUGGGGAAUAUUGCACAAUGGGCGAAAGCCUGAUGCAGCAACGCCGCGUGAAGGAAGAAAGGUUUCGGCUCGUAAACUUCUAUCAACAGGGACGAAAGAAAUGACGGUACCUCAAUAAGAAGCCCCGGGUAAGUACGGGCAAGCAGCCGCGGGAACACGUAGGGGGCAAGCGUUAUCCGGAAUUACUGGGUGAAAAGGUUGAGGGGGCGGCAUGGUAAGCCAGAUGUGAAAGCCUUGGGCGUAACCCGAGGAUUGCUUUUGGAACUAUCAAGCUAGAGUACAGGAGAGGAAAGAGGAAUUCCUAGUGUAGCGGUGAAAUGCGUAGAUAUUAGGAAGAACACCAGUGGCGAAGGCGGCUUUCUGGACUGAAACUGACGCUGAGGCACGAAAGCGUGGGGAGCGAACAGGAUUAGAUACCCGGGUAGUC